This 359-nucleotide unclassified non-coding RNA is filed under the name plant metagenome. RNAcentral describes it as "partial contains 5.8S ribosomal RNA, internal transcribed spacer 2, and large subunit ribosomal RNA". The record is from RNAcentral.
AUCCUGCUUCAAGGGAUUGCCAAGACCCAGGUCAGAGGGUCAGAUAAACAUUUAACGGAAGAAACAAUCGAGAAUGCAUUGAAAGCCGCUCGCGCGAUACGCGACGGCCGCCGGCCUUUUUUGUUGCUUACUGCGGCCACUCAAUUGAGUAAUUUGAAGUCGGCGUCGGCUCAUAUCGCUUUGACUGAGGCGAUCAAGGAUUUCAAUUCAUUCGAAGAGUCGACCCUUUCCGGUUUAGAUUGGGCGCAGCUAAUUCGGAUUGGACCGCUGAGGGCCAGAUUUCCUCUGGAUGUUGCCAAAGUUGAUUUCGGUUUUAAUGAGGCAUUUCGCGCAGUUGCUUCUGCUGAUCCCGAAGGAGC